Molecule: ribosomal RNA, 253 nt
Filed under: uncultured bacterium
Lineage: Bacteria
Description: partial 16S ribosomal RNA
Rfam family: Bacterial small subunit ribosomal RNA
Source: RNAcentral
AACGUAGGACGCAAGCGUUAUCCGGAGUUACUGGGCGUAAAGCGCGGGCAGGCGGUUCUGCCAGUCUGAUGUGAAAUCUCUCAGCUCAACUGGGAGCAGCCAUUGGAAACUACAGAACUGGAGUCUGGCAGAGGUAGGCGGAAUUCCGGGUGGAGUGGUGAAAUGCGUAGAGAUCCGGAGGAACACCAGAGGCGAAGGCGGCCUACUGGGCCAGUACUGACGCUGAGCCGCGAAAGCCAGGGGAGCGAACGGG